Molecule: ribosomal RNA, 401 nt
Filed under: uncultured bacterium
Lineage: Bacteria
Description: bacterial SSU rRNA
Rfam family: Bacterial small subunit ribosomal RNA
Source: RNAcentral
AGGGAAUCUUGCGCAAUGGACGAAAGUCUGACGCAGCGAUGCCGCGUGGAGGAUGACGGCCCUCGGGUUGUAAACUCCUUUCAGGAGGGACGAAAUUGACGGUACCUCCAGAAGAAGCCCCGGCUAACUACGUGCCAGCAGCCGCGGUAAUACGUAGGGGGCAAGCGUUGUCCGGAAUUAUUGGGCGUAAAGAGCUCGUAGGCGGCUUGGUAAGUCGAUCGUGAAAACCAGAGGCUCAACCUCUGGACGUCGGUCGAUACUGCCAUGGCUAGAGUCCGGUAGAGGAGAGUGGAAUUCCCGGUGUAGCGGUGGAAUGCGCAGAUAUCGGGAGGAACACCAGUAGCGAAGGCGGCUCUCUGGGCCGGAACUGACGCUGAGGAGCGAAAGCGUGGGUAGCAAAC